This 239-nucleotide ribosomal RNA is filed under the name Morganella morganii. Its description in RNAcentral is "partial 16S ribosomal RNA". It matches the Rfam family "Bacterial small subunit ribosomal RNA", at positions 1 to 236 of the family's 1533-position model. The record is from RNAcentral. Lineage: Bacteria; Pseudomonadati; Pseudomonadota; Gammaproteobacteria; Enterobacterales; Morganellaceae.
UAAUUGAAGAGUUUGAUCAUGGCUCAGAUUGAACGCUGGCGGCAGGCCUAACACAUGCAAGUCGGGCGGUAACAGGGAGAAGCUUGCUUCUCUGCUGACGAGCGGCGGACGGGUGAGUAAUGUAUGGGGAUCUGCCUGAUGGAGGGGGAUAACUACUGGAAACGGUAGCUAAUACCGCAUAAUGUCUUCGGACCAAAGCGGGGGACCUUCGGGCCUCGCGCCAUCAGAUGAACCCAUAU